Molecule: ribosomal RNA, 247 nt
Filed under: uncultured Actinomycetes bacterium
Lineage: Bacteria; Bacillati; Actinomycetota; Actinomycetes
Description: uncultured actinobacterium partial 16S ribosomal RNA
Rfam family: Bacterial small subunit ribosomal RNA
Source: RNAcentral
GACGAACGCUGGCGGCGUGCUUAACACAUGCAAGUCGAGCGGUAAGGCCCUUUCGGGGGUACACGAGCGGCGAACGGGUGAGUAACACGUGGGUGACCUGCCCCUUGCUCUGGGAUAAGCCUGGGAAACUGGGUCUAAUACCGGAUAUGACUCCAUGACGCAUGUUGUGGGGUGGAAAGCCUUGUGCGGCUGAGGAUGGGCCCGCGGCCUAUCAGCUUGUUGGUGGGGUGAUGGCCUACCAAGGCGA